Talpa occidentalis (Iberian mole) is the source of this 531-nucleotide long non-coding RNA. RefSeq lists it as uncharacterized. Lineage: Eukaryota; Metazoa; Chordata; Mammalia; Eulipotyphla; Talpidae. The transcript is spliced from 4 exons. The record is from RefSeq and is a predicted model, not a curated record.
GGCAGUUCCUGGGCUCUGAGGAGCAGCUGCCACAACUGACUUGUGGUGGAGCAGCGGGUGAAAGCACACCACUGCUCCUGCCAGCUCCUGCUGGCUCCUGCUGGCUCCCGCUGCGGAGGCGGCUGGGUUCUGCACCGGGUACAGUCAGAAGCACAGGAGGGUGAGAGAAUUCACCAGAGCCAGAGCCGGGAACAGAACAGUAUUGCAGGCAGGGGAUUGGAAAGAACCAGGACACGGAGAUAAAGAAUGUCCCCGUGAAGCUUGGGGCCAGAGGCUGUUUAUUGUCGUCACGAUGUGGUGCACGGGCUAGAGGUGAGGAAGAUAUAUUCAAGAAGUUUAUGGAUGAGAGAAGCAGCAGAAGCUAGGACCCCUACUUCCCCACGGGGUGAUCUGGGACUCCAGGACACGGCUUCAAGCACAGCCAUCCUAGCCUGAGUCUAGACAGAUGGGCCUGUCCCCUGAAGCCGGAGACUAAGCUUGAGUACCUGCAGUGCAAUGAUCCUGCAAUUUUCCUCACAGCAAUAAAAACCU